UGAGAGAUAGGUGCGAGCGAUUUUGAGAGCAGAGGGAGAUUUCAUUGAUGAGCGACUUUGAGGUAGAAAGUACGCGAGAGAGAGGUUUGAGAGAUAGGUGCGAGCGAUUUUGAGAGCAGAGGGAGAUUUCGUUGGAGAGAGUUUUGAGGUAGAGAGAUUCUGGGUUGAGACGUGGGAAGAGGACGAUGGGAUUCUGGGU
This 199-nucleotide long non-coding RNA is filed under the name Lathyrus oleraceus (garden pea). Its description in RNAcentral is "Pisum sativum (pea) long non-coding RNA (PSAT_LNC023497)". Lineage: Eukaryota; Viridiplantae; Streptophyta; Magnoliopsida; Fabales; Fabaceae. The record is from RNAcentral.